GACGAACGCUGGCGGCGUGCUUAACACAUGCAAGUCGAACGGAAAGGCCCUGCUUGCAGGGUACUCGAGUGGCGAACGGGUGAGUAACACGUGGGUGAUCUGCCCUGCACUUCGGGAUAAGCCUGGGAAACUGGGUCUAAUACCGGAUAGGAGCCAUUUUUAGUGUGAUGGUUGGAAAGUUUUUUCGGUGUAGGAUGAGCUCGCGGCCUAUCAGCUUGUUGGUGGGGUAAUGGCCUACCAAGGCGGCGACGGGUAGCCGGCCUGAGAGGGUGGACGGCCACAUUGGGACUGAGAGACGGCCCAGACUCCUACGGGAGGCAGCAGUGGGGAAUAUUGCACAAUGGGCGCAAGCCUGAUGCAGCGACGCCGCGUGGGGGAUGACGGCCUUCGGGUUGUAAACUCCUUUCGCUAGGGACGAAGCUUUUGUGACGGUACCUAGAUAAGAAGCACCGGCUAACUACGU
This 463-nucleotide ribosomal RNA is filed under the name uncultured bacterium. RNAcentral describes it as "partial 16S ribosomal RNA". It matches the Rfam family "Bacterial small subunit ribosomal RNA", at positions 28 to 506 of the family's 1533-position model. The record is from RNAcentral.